RNAcentral lists this non-coding RNA (161 nucleotides) under Clostridium sp. Its description in RNAcentral is "T-box sequence". It matches the Rfam family "T-box leader". From Rfam's summary of the family: Uncharged tRNA acts as the effector for transcription antitermination of genes in the T-box leader family. The record is from RNAcentral. Lineage: Bacteria; Bacillati; Bacillota; Clostridia; Eubacteriales; Clostridiaceae.
UGUUAUACGAUGAUAAAGAGGAGUAGCUUUAUUAAUUUUUCAGAGAGAUGGUGUUUGGUGCGAACCAUUAAAUUGUAAAGUGAAGGGCGCUUUUGAGUAUGUGUUUAUGAGAGCAGGGCUUAUGCCAAAAAGGGUGGAACCGCGGUAAAACCGUCCCUUAU